This 455-nucleotide ribosomal RNA is filed under the name uncultured bacterium. RNAcentral describes it as "bacterial SSU rRNA". It matches the Rfam family "Bacterial small subunit ribosomal RNA", at positions 340 to 786 of the family's 1533-position model. The record is from RNAcentral.
UACGGAAGGCAGCAGUGGGGAAUAUUGCACAAUGGGCGCAAGCCUGAUGCAGCCAUGCCGCGUGUAUGAAGAAGGCCUUCGGGUUGUAAAGUACUUUCAGUCGUGAGGAAGGUGUUAAGGUUAAUAACCUUAGCAAUUGACGUUAGCGACAGAAGAAGCACCGGCUAACUCCGUGCCAGCAGCCGCGGUAAUACGGAGGGUGCGAGCGUUAAUCGGAAUUACUGGGCGUAAAGGGCACGCAGGCGGUUAAUUAAGUUGGAUGUGAAAUCCCCGGGCUUAACCUGGGAAUGGCAUUCAAGACUGGUUUAGCUAGAGUCUUGUAGAGGGGGUAGAAUUCCAUGUGUAGCGGUGAAAUGCGUAGAGAUGUGGAGGAAUACCGGUGGCGAAGGCGGCCCCUGGACAAAGACUGACGCUCAUGUGCGAAAGCGUGGGGAGCGAAACAGGGAUUAGAUACC